Molecule: ribosomal RNA, 253 nt
Filed under: uncultured bacterium
Lineage: Bacteria
Description: partial 16S ribosomal RNA
Rfam family: Bacterial small subunit ribosomal RNA
Source: RNAcentral
UACAGAGGGUGCAAGCGUUAAUCGGAAUUACUGGGCGUAAAGCGAGCGCAGGCGGUUAUGUAAGACAGAUGUGAAAUCCCAGGGCUUAACCUUGGAACUGCAUUUGUGACUGCAUGGCUAGAGUGUGUCAGAGGGGGGUGGAACUCCACGUGUAGCAGUGAAAUGCGUAGAGAUGUGGAGGAAUACCGAUGGCGAAGGCAGCCCCCUGGGAUAACACUGACGCUCAUGCACGAAAGCGUGGGGAGCAAACAGG